This is a non-coding RNA of Parascedosporium putredinis, 114 nucleotides long. The record is from the annotation of a GenBank genome assembly. Lineage: Eukaryota; Fungi; Ascomycota; Sordariomycetes; Microascales; Microascaceae.
GGUAAGAUGGCCGAGUGGUCUAAGGCGCCAGGUUCAGGUCUGCAAUAGCUUGAGCGAAUUAUUCAAUUUCCUGGUCCAGGUAACUGGGCGUGAGUUCGAAUCUCACUCUUAUCA